GGGUUGAGCAAGCACGCAUACCCCCAAGAGGUCAAGGGCUUGGUUUUUAUUGGGUUUUGGGUACAGUAUUUUGCUCUUGGAAGCAAUGUUCAUGAUUUGGUGAAAAUAUAUAUAUAUAUAUAUAUAUAUAUUUAUGUGUGUGUGUGUGUGUAGAAAUCUAAUAUAAUAAUGCAAGUCCAGCCAUGUAAAGCCUCUCAAAGUAGGCUAGACUUCCCACAAUCUUGUGAAAAAGGAGAAUGAGACAAAACAAACCUCCUCUUGCCUCCCAUGCAACUUGUAUUUCGAAUAAAUUUACACAUGAAGGCUUUACUUAUAUUUAUGUAAUUUUUAAAAAUUGAUUCCCAAACAUAUUCCUACACUUUGAUACAUCAUUCUUUGAUACUUUGAUGCACUUCUCUCAUUUUUCUACAAUUAAGUUUAUAAGAUUGCUUGAUAAACUUGACAUGGCACGGCUUAUUUUCUACAUUUUUCUAUAUAAGUAAGGAUAAAUAAUUUAUGAAAUAAGCAACCCAUAUCGAAAUAAACAAAGAA
This 531-nucleotide long non-coding RNA is filed under the name Physcomitrium patens. RNAcentral describes it as "long non-coding RNA (PPAT_LNC001922)". Lineage: Eukaryota; Viridiplantae; Streptophyta; Bryopsida; Funariales; Funariaceae. The record is from RNAcentral.